AACGAACGCUGGCGGCAUGCCUAACACAUGCAAGUCGAACGAGACCUUCGGGUCUAGUGGCGCACGGGUGCGUAACGCGUGGGAACCUGCCCUUAGGUUCGGAAUAACUCCCCGAAAGGGGUGCUAAUACCGGAUAAUGUCUUCGGACCAAAGAUUUAUCGCCUUUGGAUGGGCCCGCGUUGGAUUAGCUAGUUGGUAGGGUAAAAGCCUACCAAGGCGACGAUCCAUAGCUGGUCUGAGAGGAUGAUCAGCCACACUGGGACUGAGACACGGCCCAGACUCCUACGGGAGGCAGCAGUGGGGAAUAUUGGAAAAUGGGCGAAAGCCUGAUCCAGCAAGGCCGCGUGAGUGAUGAAGGCAUUAGGGUUGUAAAGCUCUUUUAACCGGGAUGAUAAUGACAGUACCGGGAGAAUAAGCUCCGGCUAACUCCGUG
RNAcentral lists this ribosomal RNA (433 nucleotides) under uncultured bacterium. RNAcentral's name for it is "partial 16S ribosomal RNA". It matches the Rfam family "Bacterial small subunit ribosomal RNA", at positions 29 to 507 of the family's 1533-position model. The record is from RNAcentral.